RNAcentral lists this ribosomal RNA (637 nucleotides) under uncultured bacterium. RNAcentral describes it as "bacterial SSU rRNA". It matches the Rfam family "Bacterial small subunit ribosomal RNA", at positions 202 to 842 of the family's 1533-position model. The record is from RNAcentral.
UAAAGAUUCAUCGCUGAUAGAUAGGCAUGCGUUCCAUUAGGCAGUUGGCGGGGUAACGGCCCACCAAACCGACGAUGGAUAGGGGUUCUGAGAGGAAGGUCCCCCACACUGGUACUGAGACACGGACCAAACUCCUACGGGAGGCAGCAGUGAGGAAUAUUGGUCAAUGGGCGUAAGCCUGAACCAGCCAAGUCGCGUGAGGGAUGAAGGUUCUAUGGAUCGUAAACCUCUUUUAUAAGGGAAUAAAGUGUGGGACGUGUCCUAUUUUGUAUGUACCUUAUGAAUAAGGAUCGGCUAACUCCGUGCCAGCAGCCGCGGUAAUACGGAGGAUCCGAGCGUUAUCCGGAUUUAUUGGGUUUAAAGGGUGCGUAGGCGGCCUUUUAAGUCAGCGGUGAAAGUCUGUGGCUCAACCAUAGAAUUGCCGUUGAAACUGGGGGGCUUGAGUAUGUUUGAGGCAGGCGGAAUGCGUGGUGUAGCGGUGAAAUGCUUAGAUAUCACGCAGAACCCCGAUUGCGAAGGCAGCCUGCCAAGCCAUGACUGACGCUGAUGCACGAAAGCGUGGGGAUCAAACAGGAUUAGAUACCCUGGUAGUCCACGCAGUAAACGAUGAUCACUAGCUGUUUGCGAUACAGUGUAA